Molecule: ribosomal RNA, 253 nt
Filed under: uncultured bacterium
Lineage: Bacteria
Description: partial 16S ribosomal RNA
Rfam family: Bacterial small subunit ribosomal RNA
Source: RNAcentral
UACAGAGGUCUCAAGCGUUGUUCGGAUUCAUUGGGCGUAAAGGGUGCGUAGGUGGGUUGGUAAGUCAGUGGUGAAAUCUCCAGGCUUAACUUGGAAACUGCCAUUGAUACUAUCAAUCUUGAAUACCGUGGAGGUCAGCGGAAUAUGUCAUGUAGCGGUGAAAUGCUUAGAUAUGACAUAGAACACCAAUUGCGAAGGCAGCUGGCUACACGAAUAUUGACACUGAUGCACGAAAGCGUGGGGAUCAAACAGG